UACGGAAGGGGCAAGCGUUGUUCGGAAUCAUUGGGCGUAAAGGGCGCGUAGGUGGUUCUGUAUGUCUAUCGUGAAAGCGUACGGCUCAACCGUAUUUUGUCGGUAGAAACUGCAGGACUUGAGGCUGGGAGGGGCUGGUGGAAUUCCCUGUGUAGCGGUGAAAUGCGUAGAGAUGGGGGAGAACACUCGUGGCGAAGGCGGCCAGCUAGACCAGUUCUGACACUGAGGCGCGAAAGCGUGGGGAGCAAACGGG
This 253-nucleotide ribosomal RNA is filed under the name uncultured bacterium. RNAcentral describes it as "partial 16S ribosomal RNA". It matches the Rfam family "Bacterial small subunit ribosomal RNA", at positions 524 to 776 of the family's 1533-position model. The record is from RNAcentral.